CAAACCGACUGUUGAAGAACCAAGAGAAUUACAAAGGAGUCAAAACAAAAGAUGCCAGCAGAAAAAGGAAUUAGAUAUGUCCAAAACUGAAAACAGAAUAAUUUAGAACGGUGGAAGCAUUUAUUCGAAGCAGAUAAAAUCAGACUCCGCUCUCCCCACUGACCAAAAUAGACUGGCUUCUUGCCUCAUUUAUCAUCGCCCUGCAAACAGAUGCGGGCUUAGCUCUCCAAAUGCAGCUCCUUUAUAUUGCUCCAUCAUAUGGACACUAUACAAAUGCGGAAGUCUUUGGAAUGGAUUCACCGCGAUCAAGAUGUUUCCGGUCAAAACGGCAAUCGAGAUUGUGGAGGACCCCUGGCUCAUGGAGUGACUAUUUUGGCAUUGGUGCCUAUGAUUUCAAUCACUUCUCCACUAAUCCAUGCGAGUUCUGGAUCCUCGACCCAGACG
Molecule: non-coding RNA, 444 nt
Organism: Camelina sativa (false flax)
Lineage: Eukaryota; Viridiplantae; Streptophyta; Magnoliopsida; Brassicales; Brassicaceae
Source: RefSeq, a predicted model, not a curated record